GGGUCGUUAGCUCAGUUGGUAGAGCAUUUGACUUUUAAUCAAUUGGUCGCAGGUUCGAAUCCUGCACGACCCA
This 73-nucleotide transfer RNA is filed under the name Tatumella morbirosei. It matches the Rfam family "tRNA". From Rfam's summary of the family: Transfer RNA (tRNA) molecules are approximately 80 nucleotides in length. Their secondary structure includes four short double-helical elements and three loops (D, anti-codon, and T loops). The record is from Rfam by way of RNAcentral. Lineage: Bacteria; Pseudomonadati; Pseudomonadota; Gammaproteobacteria; Enterobacterales; Erwiniaceae.